GUUCGAUUGAAAAAAUCCUUUGGUUCAGAUUUAUUAGGAAAAAAUCUGAAAAAAGAAGAUGUAAUUUCCCCAAAUGUGAAUUUCUUUGUCAUCAUCUAUCACCAUGGGUGGGGGUGUAAGGUAAGUUACUUCUAAGAGAUGCUGUCCUCAAAUUCAUCUGGUAAAAUAAUGAUGUUAGUGCCCCCGUGCUGCUCUUCAAAGGGCCUUUUGUUUCGUUAAUCACAAUGUUGAACCAGUGUCCUACUUGAUCAGUAACAGUAUCUAGCAGAAGUAUGAUGGAGUGGAAGCCAUGCGAUGCUGGCUUGGCAAAUAAUGGUAAAAGGCAGCAAACUAACAAAAUGCCAUACUGCCAAAAGGCCCAGAAUAAGGAUGGACAUUGAGUUUUCCCAAAUGCAAAUAAGAUAGAUGAGAAAAUCACUGUCUGAGGUAAGAUGCAUGAGUGUUUUACACAUAGUUUCCCUAGAAGAAAUAUCAUCCAGAAGAAGUAAGAAGCUUCUAGACUAUUAGUCCUUGCCCACGAAUUGUUCGGUUUUACUUCCCUUUUAUUAAAAGCCAUGUGUGGAUUUACCGUAGAAUACCAAUCAUUUUCCUCAGAAAUGGAUUAUAAUCCUCCAUGCUAAAAAACAACUUCUGAGUUGAGGCUCCAAGUAGUUUCCUACUCCCACAACGAAAACAUUUUUGUUAUUUUAU
RNAcentral lists this long non-coding RNA (690 nucleotides) under Olea europaea subsp. europaea. The record is from RNAcentral. Lineage: Eukaryota; Viridiplantae; Streptophyta; Magnoliopsida; Lamiales; Oleaceae.